RNAcentral lists this ribosomal RNA (253 nucleotides) under uncultured bacterium. RNAcentral describes it as "partial 16S ribosomal RNA". It matches the Rfam family "Bacterial small subunit ribosomal RNA", at positions 524 to 776 of the family's 1533-position model. The record is from RNAcentral.
UACAGAGGUCCCAAGCGUUGUUCGGAUUCACUGGGCGUAAAGGGUGCGUAGGCGGUUUGGCAAGUCUGAUGUGAAAUCCCGCAGCUUAACUCCGAAACUGCAUUCGAUACUGCUGUGCUUGAGGACUGGAGAGGAGACUGGAAUUUACGGUGUAGCAGUGAAAUGCGUAGAGAUCGUAAGGAAGACCAGUGGCGAAGGCGGGUCUCUGGACAGUUCCUGACACUGAGGCACGAAGGCUAGGGGAGCAAACGGG